GACAGGUUAUUUACCGAGUCAAGAGAUUAUAUUGCUGUUAACAAAAUUUUUGGUUAUAUGUUCCUUCAAACAGAUUCCGAGCAGACAGAUAACAAGGAGAACAUUCCUCUAUCACAAGUGUUAUGAAUCAAGUGUUAGUCUUCAUCGUCGAAUCAAGUGUUUAUUCACUUUUAAUGUUUACUAGAGCUUGACCCGCACGCCUGUGCGGGUGCUAAGUGUUUUUAUAUAUGUUUUUUGUUUUCUAUAUGAAGAUCUCAUAUAUUUAAGAUGAAUAACCAUUUUGUAAUACAACUGUAUCACCAUAUUAAUUUUUAUUUUUUUACAAAUUUUUAUUUGUUUUCCAUUUUAAGUCUUCUAUUUUUUUUUUAAAGUACAUAUUGAAAUGUUAAUUGUUUAGUAAAUGAUAAUAUGCUAUCAAUUUUAACGAUUUUAUAAACAAAAUCUAUAUCUAUAAUUAUUGUGAAUUUUAUGUGUGUACCUAAAUAAAGAAGAAAUGUUUUUUUUUAACAAUAUAUAAUAUAAUAUUGAGAAAUUCCUUGGGAUAGACCUAGAAAUGUUUUUGUCACAAAUAUAGACCUUACGAAUAAAAAUGACCAAAAUAGACUUAAAUGUUUUAUCAAAAGAAGUAAAUAUACACUUAUAUCGCUAGGGUUAAUUAAUCUAGACAUUAGGGUUUAGAGUUAAGGGGUGGAGUUUAGGGUUUAGGGUUUAAAGUUUACGGUUUAGGAUUUAGAGUUUAGGGUUUAGAGUUGAAGGUGUUAUUGGUUUAUAUAUUUUGAUUGAUUUAGAAAUUCAUAUAGUAUUUAUAAAUCCAAGUAAAAUAUACAAA
Molecule: long non-coding RNA, 829 nt
Filed under: Brassica rapa (field mustard)
Lineage: Eukaryota; Viridiplantae; Streptophyta; Magnoliopsida; Brassicales; Brassicaceae
Description: long non-coding RNA (BRAP_LNC006590)
Source: RNAcentral